GAAAGCCGUAUGCGGGAAAACCGCACGUACGGAUUGACGAGGGAGUCGGGAAAGUGCUUUACUUUCCCGCUCUACUCUAC
Molecule: non-coding RNA, 80 nt
Organism: Mucilaginibacter paludis DSM 18603
Lineage: Bacteria; Pseudomonadati; Bacteroidota; Sphingobacteriia; Sphingobacteriales; Sphingobacteriaceae
Source: Rfam